Molecule: ribosomal RNA, 397 nt
Filed under: uncultured bacterium
Lineage: Bacteria
Description: bacterial SSU rRNA
Rfam family: Bacterial small subunit ribosomal RNA
Source: RNAcentral
GACGAACGCUGGCGGCGUGCUUAACACAUGCAAGUGGAGCGACGAACCAGGGCUUGCCCUGGGGCAGAGCCGCGAACGGGUGAGUAACACGUGGGUAACUUGCCCCGAUGACUGGGACAACCCGAGGAAACUCGGGCUAAUACCGGAUGUGUCCGUGCACCAUCAGGCGCACGGGGAAAGGAAGCUUCGGCCUCCGCAUCGGGAUGGGCCCGCGGCCCAUUAGCUUGUUGGUGGGGUAACGGCCACCAAGGCUGCGAUGGGUAGCUGGUCUGAGAGGACGAUCAGCCACACUGGGACUGAGACACGGCCAGACUCCUACGGGAGGCAGCAGUGGGGAAUCUUGCGCAAUGCGCGAAAGCGUGACGCAGCAACGCCGCGUGGGGGAAGACGGCCUCGG